CUCCUUAAAUUUUCACUUGCAACUUGCGUUUGAUGGAUGGCCUGUGACCAAGUGAAUGAAUGAAUGUUGGGGAAGACUGAUAUUGUGGAAUUCAAAAGGUAGCAGAGAUGCUGUGCUUUACCUAGCGAGCAGUUUUAGGAGGAUCACAGCCUUCAAGGGCUGAGCAUGUGAGGGUCCGACUCAAUGGCUGUGGAGUCUGACAGGACGGCGGGAGGCUGAGAGGGAAACAGAGGUGCCCUCGUCUCUCCCAGGGUCUGGUAACAAAGCCCUUCGCUAGGGCUGUAAGUGCUUGAUGUCGUUACUCAUCUUAAUUUCAAAUUCGUUCUUUACUCGAAUCAGUCACACCUCGUGUGUCAGCAGCACCACACAAUACCACUGGUCUCCAGGCCUUCCCGGAGGUCAUAUCUUGGCAGCACUUCCCGCUGACUUGCAAUUAUCUUCACCUGCCUUUUAAAAAGGCACUUGCAAAGGAAAUUCAUCGUAAGGAGGAAGAAACGGUCACUCCGUAGUCGCAUUCUCGUAUUCUCGCGAGACGAUCGCAAACCAAAGUGGUGCCUCGAAGGAGCUUCGUUCAGCAAAGCGGCCUCAGUGCAAUUCCAUGCACAUUUAUGGAGCUCAUUCUCUGCGUGGGACACUGUGAUAGAGACUCUCUGAGCCUCAAGGAUAAAUGAGUCCUAGGCCUCAUCUUUCAGGUGGAAACACUGUAGUGGGGACUAAGAUAUGAACGAGCCAUCAGCCUGUGAGGUGUACAAAAACAGAUAAUUUCAAUACCUGAUGUUGGGGGCUUAGGCAGAGAAUCACACGGCACACGGUACCGGCAGUCGACCCAGGACAUGGAUAGCCCAGCAGAGGGUUUGAAAGGCUUCUGGAAGAAAUAACUGCUCUUCUAGGCCUUGAAGCAUGGACGGAAUCUCCCCAUCCCCUGUGAAGAUCUUACUAUUCCAUCUCUCUUCUCUACUGGAUGAUGAAAACUGAACCUCACCAGCAGGCAAAGAGGAUCCAGGCAAAGAGGACACUGAAGAAGGGAGAGAUGUUUACUGGUUGUUCAAGUCUGGGCUUCUGGAAGUCUUGUUAAAGAUUUUACUGUGCUCGUGGAGACUUCUUUCCCUAAUGCGGGGUGUCCCAUUCUCAGGUCUUCAGGAAUGUUUUUCUUGCUUAUUGCAGGACUCCUCCAGUUAGAUUCUGACUUGCUGUCACUCUUCAUAACCAGCAAUCGGCCCUCUACUGAUGACCUCACUUCUCAUGUGCUGUCACCUGUUGUUAUGACCGUGGUACUCCCCAAUUAGAGACCAACUCAGACCCACAUCCAUGUGCCUUGCAUAACCAGAACCUUAAACUUUUCUCAGCACCACAGACCUUUCUAGGUUCCAGCACUUACUUGCAUAUGGUCUGGGACAACUCACAGCACUAGAACCUGGUUAUGAUAGUCAUGAGUGGCCACACUUAGGUGGAAUGAACCAUGUAGAAAGGGCCCUACUCUAAGGAAGAUACGGGCCACACAUGGAACUGUGAUAUGAAUGGCCUUUGCGGACCCUCCCAAAACCCAAGAUUCUGUGGUAUUUUCAGAUACAACGUAAAGUCACAAAUCCUGGGUUCCUUCUUAGGGAAUCACUUUGAAAGCAAACAUUUA
Long non-coding RNA from Prionailurus viverrinus (fishing cat), 1630 nucleotides. RefSeq lists it as uncharacterized. Lineage: Eukaryota; Metazoa; Chordata; Mammalia; Carnivora; Felidae. The transcript has 3 exons. The record is from RefSeq and is a predicted model, not a curated record.